RNAcentral lists this small RNA (209 nucleotides) under Sorex araneus (European shrew). RNAcentral's name for it is "RNase MRP (ENSSARG00000019539.1)". It matches the Rfam family "RNase MRP", at positions 14 to 217 of the family's 266-position model. Rfam says of the family: RNase MRP is an enzymatically active ribonucleoprotein with two distinct roles in eukaryotes. In mitochondria it plays a direct role in the initiation of mitochondrial DNA replication. The record is from RNAcentral. Lineage: Eukaryota; Metazoa; Chordata; Mammalia; Eulipotyphla; Soricidae.
GCCUGUUGCCUGGGCUACAAACGGAAGACUCCGUUCCUACUCCUUGCGCCCAGGGGAAAGUACCCGGACCUCCAGCAGAGAGUGUCACGUGAGCGUGCACGUUGACCUUCCCCGCAUCUCACAAAUAACUCCGCUGCUGAGUGCACUCUGAGAAUAUUUCUGGCGAGGCUUUGGGAACCACAUGGAGUGCCAGGGAUAACAAGGCAGGC